Molecule: unclassified non-coding RNA, 685 nt
Filed under: Berchemia yunnanensis
Lineage: Eukaryota; Viridiplantae; Streptophyta; Magnoliopsida; Rosales; Rhamnaceae
Description: partial contains small subunit ribosomal RNA, internal transcribed spacer 1, 5.8S ribosomal RNA, and internal transcribed spacer 2
Rfam family: 5.8S ribosomal RNA (bases 264-419)
Source: RNAcentral
GUAGGUGAACCUGUGGAAGGAUCAUUGUCGAGCCCUGCAAGAGCAGAACGACCCACGAGCCGGUAACCCUACUCCGGGAGGGUGUUCCCUCCCGUCGCGGGCGAGCGUGCGGACGCGGCCUCACAGCAACGGAUUGUUUUGCCCUCCCACGACGAACAACGAACACCGGCGCAAGAUGUGCCAUGGAACCAAAACGAAUGAGCGCGCCCCCAACCCCGGUAACGAAGGCGAUGGGGCGUUGUGUCAUUCACUAUAUACAAAAUGACUCUCGGUAAUGGAUAUCUCGGCUCUCGCAUCGAUGAAGAACGUAGCGAAAUGUGAUACUUGGUGUGAAUUUUAGAAUCCUGUGAACCAUCGAGUCUUUGAACGCAAGUUGAACCUGAAGCCAUCUGGCCGAGGGCACGUCUGCCUGGGCGUCACACACGCCGUCGCCCCCCCGCCCCGUGUCGUCUCUCACUGGACAUGUGCGCGGGUGGCGAGGGUAGAACUUGGCCCCACGUGCCCGCUAGGGCGCGGCUGGCCUAAAAAGAGGGAUCUUGGUGAUAGCGGUCAUGGCUGGUUGGUGGUUAUCAAACCUUCACGUCCUGGAGAGUGCCCUUUCACCAAUGGGAUUGCCCCUCGUGACCCCCGAGCGACGCCCCAGGGAGCUGCCCACUAUGCGACCCCAGGGCAGGUGGGACUACUC